This 782-nucleotide ribosomal RNA is filed under the name uncultured Hyphomicrobiales bacterium. Its description in RNAcentral is "bacterial SSU rRNA". It matches the Rfam family "Bacterial small subunit ribosomal RNA", at positions 94 to 914 of the family's 1533-position model. The record is from RNAcentral. Lineage: Bacteria; Pseudomonadati; Pseudomonadota; Alphaproteobacteria; Hyphomicrobiales.
AGUGGCAGACGGGUGAGUAAUGUAUAGGAAUCUACCUAGUAGUACGGAAUAAUUGUUGGAAACGGCAACUAAUACCGUAUACGCCCUACGGGGGAAAAAUUUAUUGCUAUUAGAUGAGCCUAUAUUAGAUUAGUUAGUUGGUGAGGUAAAGGCUUACCAAGACAAUGAUCUAUAGCUGAUCUGAGAGGAUGAUCAGCCACACUGGAACUGAGAUACGGUCCAGACUCCUACGGGAGGCAGCAGUGGGGAAUAUUGGACAAUGGGCGAAAGCCUGAUCCAGCCAUGCCGCAUGAGUGAAGAAGGCCUUCGGGUUGUAAAGCUCUUUUAGUGAGGAAGAUAAUGACGGUACUCACAGAAGAAGUCCUGGCUAACUCCGUGCCAGCAGCCGCGGUAAUACGGAGAGGGCUAGCGUUAUUCGGAAUCAUUGGGCGUAAAGGGCGCGUAGGCGGGUUAGUAAGUUAAAAGUGAAAUCCCAAGGCUCAACCUUGGAACUGCUUUUAAAACUGCUAGUCUAGAGAUUGAAAGAGGAUAGAGGAAUUCCUAGUGUAGAGAUGAAAUUCGUAAAUAUUAGGAGGAACACCAGUGGCGAAGGCGUCUAUCUGGUUCAAAUCUGACGCUGAGGCGCGAANGCGUGGGGAGCAAACAGGAUUAGAUACCCUGGUAGUCCACGCUGUAAACGAUGAAUGUUAAAUAUGGGAAGUUUACUUUCUGUAUUAUAGCUNACGCGUUAAACAUUCCGCCUGGGGNCUACNGUCGCNAGAUUAAAACUCAAAGGNAUUGAC